GAUGAACGCUGACAGAAUGCUUAACACAUGCAAGUCUUUGGCGAAGCUGUGCUUGCACAGCCUAGCCAAGGCGGACGGGUGAGUAACGCGUAAGGAACUUGCCCUGCAGUCAGGGAUAACAGACGGAAACGACUGAUAAGACCUGGUAAAGUCAGGCGGACUCAUGUCCAGCCUGAUGAUAAGAGAUGCUGCAGGAGAGCCUUGCGUCCUAUUAGCUUGUUGGUGGGGUAACGGCCCACCAAGGCGACGAUAGGUAGCCGGCCUGAGAGGGUGGACGGCCACAAGGGGACUGAGAUACGGCCCUUACUCCUACGGGAGGCAGCAGUGGGGAAUAUUGGACAAUGGGGGCAACCCUGAUCCAGCAAUUCUGUGUGCACGAUGAAGGUUUUCGGAUUGUAAAGUGCUUUCAGCAGGGAAGAAAAAAAUGACGGUACCUGCAGAAGAAGCGACGGCUAAAUACGUG
Molecule: ribosomal RNA, 463 nt
Filed under: uncultured bacterium
Lineage: Bacteria
Description: partial 16S ribosomal RNA
Rfam family: Bacterial small subunit ribosomal RNA
Source: RNAcentral